GGCUAGUUAGCUAGCACUCUGCAUAGCAUAACGUUCAUACUCAGUGAUAAUGUUUGGCGGAGUGAGGCAUGCGCCAUUUUUACAGCCAACCCGGACCGCGCUGAUUGGUUUACUGUCGCGCCCUCCUGCACCUCGGAGCUCUACCAUUGGAGAAUUACAUCUCAUAUAUCAAAUAAUUGACAUUACACAUAACGUCUGCCUCGACAGUCACCAUUAGCAGCUACAUCCAUUGAACAUGUAGAUUAGAAACUGUUAUGUUUUAGUUUUCCCUUUCUAAUGACAGAUUGGCCGUUCCCGUAGUAAAAACGAUGUGUGUUAAUUCAUUAAAUAACAGUAUAAUAUGACGUUCCUGCCUGUCAGAGCUUCUAUGGCUGCUGUACAAUGCCUGCAACCAAUGUUGCCUGUGUAGUAGCCCCGAGAUUGCCGAGCAGCUCCCUUUGGACUGCCUCGCAGGAAUAUCAACCUACAGAGAGAAGAACGAGAUUGAACUUCACUUCAUUUUCUAGGGCAGUUGUCGACUGGUCGAUCUCCAAGGCAUUCAUAUUCGAUCGCAGUUACGGAUUUAGGUAUAGGCGACAUGGGCAGCCGCCCUAGGCGGCACGGGUGACCCGCACAAAAAAAUCGGAAUAGUGUCAACACAUCGGUUUUCUAUCGCUUAUUUGCACGUCACGUCAAUGAUAUCAUGCCACCAUGUGGGACUGUGGGUCAAUUAACCUUGUCGGAGUGGGCGCCCUGAUUCUAGUUUGUGAGCUAGGCAGGCGACUGCCUAGGAAGGUCUCUCUAUGAUUAUUUAUUUGUGUUGUUUCAAAUGUCUGAAUAAACGUUACAUUUAGUGCAGAAUUGUGCUUUUUUUUGGCGGGGGUGCUGAAGGGGCUGUUUUCCCAGGGAGCCAUAGAAGCUAGAACCGCCACUGCUCGAUCGCCAAACAUUUCUAUAAAAAAAAUAGAGCCUUGUAUUCUAUUUUUCGUCCGUCUGGGUUGCUGGCGUUAGGUGUACACUAUUCAGCUGCCCUGCGCGCCGGGUAGGCGAACUGUUGCCAUUUUGAACCUUCUCUUAUGACUGAAGGUACAAACGCUGCCUUCCCGGAGGGCCCAGAGAGCAAAUCAUGUGCACUAUGGGUUUACUGCUGGCCAAUCGGAUGGCUCAGAUUACCGUGUCUGCAUUAAUGUAGCAGGCACAAUAAAUCUACAGCCAAAUUGAUACUGAGAUUUCAAAACGUUUAAAGCCAUGACUAGAGAGACUGUCAACAAAUACAGCAAAGAGCUGCUGUUUUUAUGAUUGAGUACAUUCUUACUCAGCACUGAUAACACUUUGUAUUCAAUACUUUUAUAAGCAAUUUCAACUCAGCGCUGCAACAAGAACUGCAUCGGUAAUGAAUGAGUAGGAAAGUGUAUCUAUAGGCUUGCGUUGAUAUUAUUAGCGGCAUGGGUCUUUUUUAAUAUCGAGGAAUAAAUUACUUUCUCUGUUCAUAGAAGUAACAACAUGAAUUUGUGCAUGAGGCAUAAAUAAUGUGGUGCGACUCGGGUUUCGCCAACAGCUGGUAGACGGUGUCCCUUUUUGGCCAGUGACCCUUUUUGGUCAGUGUCAGUGGAGGAAAGGGAGAGCAUGGGGCUGUUGAGUCUCAUCCUCAGUCUGUCUGCUCUCUCCCUCCGUUGAGACUAGAGGUCGACCGAUUAGGAUUUUUCAACACCGAUACCUAUUAUUGGAGGACCAAAGAAAGCCGAUACCUCUUAAUGUUCGAUUUUAUAUAUAUAUAUAUAGGUAACAAUGUUUGUAACAACUGAGGUGGAACCAACAACAGGAGUGGAACUCACCCAGCCUCCCAGACCUGCAGUCGAGAGGAGACUACCAGGGCACAGACCGUAUGUGAAGUGGCCUGGCGCCAGUGACAAGAAGUUGUGGGAAACAGUGAAUAGGGACCUUACCUUGACCCUCGAGAAACUUCGAGGCACAGUGGAGAAGAAGUUGGAGAGGAUGGGGGACAUCAUCUAUGAGUACGGGACAGAAAGAUUUGGAGUGGAAGAGGCAAAAGGCGGGAGAAAGGUUCCAACCCCACCAGUUUCCAGGAGGCAACAAGAAAUCAAGCACCUCGUACAAGAAAGGCGACAGCUUAAGAAACAGUGGAAGAAGGCCUCGGAAGUGGAAAAGGAGGGCAUAGAGGCACUUCAGGCUGAUAUCAAAACCCGGUUGGCAUCCCUCCGUAGAGCAGAGAACCUACGGAAACACAGAAGGAAGAAAGAACAAACUAGAACUCGAUUCUAUAAAGAUCCCUUCAAGUUCCUUAAAAGUCUCUUCACAAAGGAAAAAAGUGGAGCUCUAAAAACAACAAAGAAAGACCUAGAGGUGCACCUGAGAACAACAAACUUUGACUCAAAGCGACAUGAACAUCUGGCCAUCCCAUCAGAUAUCCCACCCAUUGAACCCCCGGAACAUCACAUUGAGACCAGCCCUCCGACAUGGAAAGAGGUGGAAAACACAGUUCGACGGGCAAGAACAGCAUCAGCCCCGGGGCCAAAUGGAGUCCCGUACAAAGUGUAUAAGAACGCACCAGACAUCCUGAGGGUCCUCUGGAGGCUUAUGAGAACAGCUUGGCAAAAGAAGAUCAUACCCAAAGUGUGGCGUAGGGCAGGCGGGGUCCUGAUCCCUAAGGAGAAGGAUGCAGUGAACAUCAGCCAAUUCCGCCCAAUCUCCUUACUGAAUGUCGAGGGUAAAAUCUUUAGGGUCAUUGCCCAGAGGAUGGCCGAGUACCUGCAAAGGAAUGCGUACGUCGAUACAUCUGUACAGAAGGCAGGAAUAUCAGGGUUCUCUGGCUGCUUGGAACAUUCCAGCAUGAUCUUGCACCAGAUCCAAAUGGCCAAGGUGGAGAAAAGGGACCUCCAUGUAGUCUUUCUCGACCCCGCCAAUGCAUUUGGCUCUGUGCCCCAUGAACUCCUGUGGUCUGCCUUCAGAUUUUUCCACAUACCGGACACCAUCACAACCCUGGUGAAGUCGUACUUCCAGGAUCUGCAGUUCUGCUUCACCACCUCAUGGCAGUGUCUGAAUGUAGGUAUAAUGGCGGGAUGUACCAUUUCUCCGUUGGCAUUCAUAAUGGCAAUGGACAUUGUGGGUCAUGUUCAGCAAGGGAGAGGAGGCCUUGGGCUAACUAGCCGUGCUGCUUGGAGUAAGGCCACUGCACCAGAGCGGCGGAAGAUGGUAGUGCAGGAAGUAUGCCAUCAGGAGGAGGCUGCAAGGUGGGCCAAGGCAGUCUCUCUUUCCAAACAGGGACAGUGGACUCGAUGGGACAGUGUGGAGAAGAGGAAGAUCAGCUGGAAGGAUCUGUGGGCCAUGGAAGCGAGGCGGUUGAGCUUUUCCAUCAGAGCAACAUAUGACGUCCUUCCAACUCCAGUUAAUCUUCACCAAUGGUAUGGUGAAGAUCCGGACUGUGCCCUCUGUUCCAUGCCAGCCAACCUCAGGCACAUUCUCACAGGGUGUAAAACAAGCCUCACCCAAGGACGCUACACUUGGCGUCACAACCAAGUCCUUAAAAACCUUGCGUCCGCCCUGGAGGACAAGCGAGCUGCCACCAACUCCCUACCACCCCCAGCAGCAUCACACCCCUUACGGACGAACUUUGUCCGCGAAGGGGCUAAACCACCGAAGAGCGGCUCGACACCAUUCGAGCGAGACCAGCUGCGCUUGGCCCGCAACUGGAAAAUGCUAGCUGACAUUGGCCGGCAACUUGUGUUUCCUCCGGAGAUCGCAACCACCACCCUAAGACCUGACAUGGUGCUCUGGUCCCGUUCGCUCAAGAAGGUCUUCAUCAUUGAGCUCACAGUACCCUGGGAGGACUCAGUAGAUGAGGCUUAUGAGCGAAAACAUCUGCGCUAUGCCGAUCUAGCUGCCAAAGCACGGCAUCAUGGCUGGAACACAGAAGUCCAACCAGUGGAGGUGGGCUGCAGAGGUUUUGUGGCAACAUCUACAACCAGACUGCUUAGAGACCUUGGAAUUAAGGGCCAGAGCCAGCGUUCGGCAAUCAAAGCUGUAUUGGAGGCGGCAGAAGGCAGCAGUCAGUGGCUCUGGAUGAAGAGGAAAGACCCCAGCUGGGCCCCGAAGUGAGAGGGCCAGGAGGUAUGCGGUCAACAAUGCUUGACUCAGGGAGGAGGACUCCCCUGCCAUGCAUAGUCCCAUGGGAUGUUGGCUAUCAACAACAAGGCAACUCCUAUGACUAAUUGGGAAUGGGACGCAAGCGUAGGAUUGAUCACCCUGUCGCUGGCCGCCUUUGGGGAGGGUGUAUAGUGUGAAAGGCCGAAACACCCUAGGAACCAAAGGUACACUACUGACGAUGCGCUCCCCAAAUUUCACCAGGCUCACUGUUCAUUAACUCUUGGAAGUGCUUCCACAAAGGAUAGCAACAUCUCAUCCUGUGUUCUUGGAAUCUGUAAUAAUGACAGUUACAACAAUACUGAAUGAACAUUGAACACUUUUAUUUUAACUUAAUAUAAUACAUAAAUGAAAUCAAUUUAGUCUCAAAUAAAUAUUGAACCAUGUUCAAUUUGGUAAAAUAAUGCAAAUACACAGUUUUUGAGUAGAAAGUAAAAGUGCAGUAUGUGCCAUGUAAAAAGCGCACGUUUAAGUUCCUUGCUCAGAACAUGAGAACAUAUAAAACAUGAAUAUACCCAGUUAAUAAGUUUUAGGUUGUAGUUAUUAUAGGACUUCUGACUAUUUAUUUCUGUACCAUUUGUAUUUCAUAUAGAUUUGACUAUUGGAUGUUCUUAUAGGCACUUUAGUAUUGCCAGCCUAAUCUCGGGAGUUCAUAGGCUUGAAGUCAUAAACGGCGCUGUGCCUCAAGCAUUGCUAAGAGCUGCUGGCAAACGCAGUAAAGUGCUGUUUGAAUGAAUGCUUACGAGCCUGCUGCUGCCUACCACCGCUCAGUCAGACUGCUCUAUCAAAUAUCAAAUCAUAGACUUAAUUAUAAUAAACACACAGAAAUAUUAGCCUUUGGUCAUUAAUAUGGUAAAAUCCGGAAACUAUAAUUUUAGAAAACAAAAUGUUUAUUCUUUCAGUGAAAUACGGAACCAUUUCGUAUUUCAUCCAACGGGUGGCAACCCUAAGUCUAAAUAUUGCUGUUACAUUGCACAACCUUCAAUGUUAUGUCAUAAUUAUGUAAAAUUCUGGCAAAUUAAUUACGGUCUUUGUUAGGAAGAAAUGGUCUUCACACAGUUCGCAACGAGCCAGGCGGCCAAAACUGCUGCAUAUACCCUGACUCUGCUUGCACUGAACACAAGAGAAGUGACACAAUUUCCCCAGUUAAUAUCGCCUGCUAAAAUGCAUUUCUUUUAACUUAAAUAUGCAGAUUAAAAAAAUAUACUUCUGUGUAUUGAUUUUAAGAAAGGCAUUAAUGUUUAUGGUUAGGUACAUUUGUGCAACGAUUGUGCUUUUUUUUCCGCAAAUGUGCUUUUGUUAAAUCAUCCCCCGUUUGGCGAAGUUGAAGUAGGCUGUGAUUAGAUGAUAAAUUAACAGGCACCACUUUGAUUAUAUGCAACACAGGACAAGCUAGUUCACUUAGUAAUAUCAUCAAUCAUGUGUAGUUAAUGAGUGAUUAUGUGAAGAUUGAUUGUUUUUUAUAAGUUAAGUUUAAUGCUACUGUAGCUAGCAACUUACCAUGGCUCCUUGCAGCCACAAGGUCCUUUUGAUGCUGCACUCGCGUAACAGGUGGUCAGCCUCCCACGCAGUCUCCUCGUGGAUUGCAAUGUAAUUGGCCAUAAUCGGCAUCCAAAAAGGCAGAUUACCGAUUGUUAUGAAAACUUGAAAUCGGCCCUAAUUAAUCGGUCGACCUCUAGUUGAGACUGACCAUCAGAUGCUCGCUCAGUUGUGCCUCACAAGUAAUACAACAAUGGAUCUAUUGCCGGUGUGAUCAUAUAGCCUACCUUAAAUUUUGAUAGAUAAUUUUAAGAAAUGGCCUGAACAACAAUACAUUGGCAGGGCAAUUUAUGCACAGCCAAUAUGCAGUGAAAAUGUAUUGGGCCAUAUAGCUUACUGCACAAACCUCAUUGCUACAGAACUAUUUUUAAUUGGGUAAUGUUGCAAAGGUGUAUGUUUUUUUACUCAAAGUGAUCUUGACUCAGAAAAGGUUGUUGACCACUGUUCUAGAGUUUUCCUGUUAAGACGAUCAACGUUUCCCUUCACUGUGGCAAUUGGGAUCGAAUCAAUGCUAUAUUAGCCACUUUCAAUGCAACAUACCGAAACAAAACAAACUAUGCAAGAGAUUUUGUUGUAGGCAAAACACAUAGGAUUCCAUUAAAUUGACACACACUACUCAGCCCGAACUUUACACAGACCGGUGCGGCAUAAACAAUUAGAGCUGCAUAUGCAAAUAGACCAUUGCCAUAUAUGGAUCUGUGCCAUUUACUUUGAACUGGACUGUGUUUACAGCAUGAGCGGUUCUGAGUAGAUGCCUUGUUUUGAGAUCAAAGCGAGAGCUGCGUCUAGCCACAUCUGCACAUUUUGUUCUUAUCCUUUGCUAGUUAGUGAGUUAUUAGCCCAGUUAUAGAUCAUUUGUAGUCAGCAAUAGGGGAGUGAUUGCUUCUUACAAAAGCACAAAACAUUCACAGACAUCUUUGAAAAGCGAGUCGGGUAACGAGCUUCCCUGAUUCCCUGUAAUAAUGGUAUGGGAAUAAUAAUGCAUUUUAUUUUGUGAAGUGGUUUCUUGCAUCAAACAACAUCAGUCACCUCCUUGUCUGAAGGAGAAGUGGAUAAACAGGUUAAUGUCAAGCCCUGCAUGUUUUGUUUUAAGUCUCAUGGAAUGUAGGCCUACAUUGAACAUCACACAUUGCUACUGUAGGCUGAAUGAUAUAACAGCUAUUCCCAUGUUAAAAUGUUAUGGGAUGCAUUUUCUCCAUUGUUUUUGAUAGUAUACCUCUCUGUCAGGCCUACAUUAUGAUCAAAUAGCCACAGUAGCCCACAUGGCCGCUGUUAAAACUGUAACUUAAGGCAGGUACAGCCUCAGUGUUCACAGUAAACGCGUGCUGGAAGUUGCACAGAAUUUUCACAACAUUCAAGUUUGUGCUCAGCAGACCUGAAAUUUGCUCAGUGUCGAUUUUUUUUGUUGUGGUUGAUGAGAGAACAUUGCCUACAACAUCCAGUGUGUCAACUCUUGUCUUGUCCUUUAAAACCUAAAGGUUGUCAGCUUUGAAUGGGAUCAGAUUUAAACAGAAAAAUCGAUCCUUUUUAUAUCAGUGCUUUCCACAUACAUACGUGUCUAUUUCAUGACCAUUUGGAAAAUGCCAAUAGGCAAAUGAUCUUACAAAAGACCAUCGCCACCUCUCACUGCUCAUAAUAACUGACACAAUGAAUCGGCACACUUGACUUAUCAGCUAGGACCAGGGAAAUGGGGGUGUAGGACGUUGAGGCAUGGUUCAGUAUCUCUAGGGCUAGGCUGUAUGACUUGCCACUGCUCCCCACAUAGACACAGCAGGCUUUCACAGCUCUACAGACGACACAAAGUGCUGCUCUGCGUGUAGAAGCUAAGGUUUCCUGAGAACUAUGGAGGGACCUUAUAAAAUGCUAAUGGGAAAGUUAGCCGGGUCAUAAGAAUUGGAACCCGAAAGAGCCAGCUGGCUCGUAUUCAGACAGACAGCGUUGCAGAGAAG
Molecule: RNA transcript, 7628 nt
Organism: Oncorhynchus nerka (sockeye salmon)
Lineage: Eukaryota; Metazoa; Chordata; Actinopteri; Salmoniformes; Salmonidae
Gene name: porphobilinogen deaminase-like
Exons: 3
Source: RefSeq, a predicted model, not a curated record